GUUUAUUGAGCAGCUUGGAGUACUCGGGCAGAAGAUGGGAUUGGGAAUCACUAUAGCAGUCCCAAACCAUUGAUAGGCAUACUACUGGUUUAUCCACCAUUUGUGUUUCUAUAUCACUGUUGUUCACUUUACUCAGCCACCUAGCCAGUCACUCGAAAAGCUUACGUUGAACCUAAUAGUGUGUAAUGUUGAUAGCGCUAGACUUAUAGUAUUCGAUAGUGAGGCGUACUGGUCUUUAAA
Molecule: unclassified non-coding RNA, 240 nt
Filed under: Hevea brasiliensis (rubber tree)
Lineage: Eukaryota; Viridiplantae; Streptophyta; Magnoliopsida; Malpighiales; Euphorbiaceae
Source: RNAcentral